This is a long non-coding RNA of Cyprinus carpio carpio, 545 nucleotides long. Lineage: Eukaryota; Metazoa; Chordata; Actinopteri; Cypriniformes; Cyprinidae. The record is from Ensembl.
GUGAGUACCUAGUGAUUAGCAGUGCUGGAAAAUCAAAUGUUUAACUCAUAAAGCUUAGCAUUCCUUUCCAACUGGCAUGUGAUUUUAACGUUGACCCUAACGGUUAUGUUCCAGUUUAAUAUUUUUAAUGAAGAAAGAAAUUCAUACAGGUUUGAAACAACAUGAGGACCACAGAUCUAACUACUUAUAGAAGGUCUGUUGUUCUUCAUGGUCUUCCCCUGUACUUGAGAGAGCCAGCUUAAAUUUCAAAGACUAUUUAGGAUACUGAGGCACUGGGGCCACACACAAAGGCCAUGAAAAUGGGGAUCCUGGAAGUGACUGACAGUUCUACCAACUCAGGACCAUAUCCCACAGUGGUCAAUGUGGCUGUAGUACUGGAGGAAGAAGUUGUCAUGUUUUACUGAAUUUCAUUUUGUAAAGCAGAUAUUUGUUUUUCCAGUACAGCUAUUGACUAAGAGUGAUAUGUCAUGCUUUCUUGAACUCUCAGAUCUUGUUUUGGCACUGGUUGAAUACUUGUGUAAUAUUUUACUUGAGCCUAACAGGCA